AAAUUGAAGAGUUUGAUCAUGGCUCAGAUUGAACGCUGGCGGCAGGCCUAACACAUGCAAGUCGAACGGUAACAGGAAGCAGCUUGCUGCUUUGCUGACGAGUGGCGGACGGGUGAGUAAUGUCUGGGAAACUGCCUGAUGGAGGGGGAUAACUACUGGAAACGGUGGCUAAUACCGCAUAACGUCGCAAGACCAAAGAGGGGGACCUUCGGGCCUCUUGCCAUCAGAUGUGCCCAGAUGGGAUUAGCUAGUUGGUGAGGUAACGGCUCACCAAGGCGACGAUCCCUAGCUGGUCUGAGAGGAUGACCAGCCACACUGGAACUGAGACACGGUCCAGACUCCUACGGGAGGCAGCAGUGGGGAAUAUUGCACAAUGGGCGCAAGCCUGAUGCAGCCAUGCCGCGUGUAUGAAGAAGGCCUUAGGGUUGUAAAGUACUUUCAGCGGGGAGGAAGGUGUUGUGGUUAAUAACCGCAGCAAUUGACGUUACCCGCAGAAGAAGCACCGGCUAACUCCGUGCCAGCAGCCGCGGUAAUACGGAGGGUGCAAGCGUUAAUCGGAAUUACUGGGCGUAAAGCGCACGCAGGCGGUCUGUCAAGUCGGAUGUGAAAUCCCCGGGCUCAA
Molecule: ribosomal RNA, 622 nt
Filed under: Salmonella enterica
Lineage: Bacteria; Pseudomonadati; Pseudomonadota; Gammaproteobacteria; Enterobacterales; Enterobacteriaceae
Also listed under: 2 other names
Description: bacterial SSU rRNA
Rfam family: Bacterial small subunit ribosomal RNA
Source: RNAcentral